RNAcentral lists this unclassified non-coding RNA (200 nucleotides) under Sebacinales sp. RNAcentral describes it as "partial internal transcribed spacer 2". Lineage: Eukaryota; Fungi; Basidiomycota; Agaricomycetes; Sebacinales. The record is from RNAcentral.
UUAAGUUCAGCGGGUAGUCCCACCCGAUUUGAGGUCAAAUUGUCAAAGGUUGUCCUAGGACGAUUGGAAGCACAGAGCCCAUCAACGCAGACGUGUCCCAGAGGGAGCUUGUAUCAGUGAAGAUGCUUAUCACACUGACAACGCUGCAAAGCAGGGUGCACUCAUGCAUUUAAGACCAGUCAUUGUUACAUGACAGGGCC